This 273-nucleotide ribosomal RNA is filed under the name Escherichia coli. RNAcentral describes it as "partial 23S ribosomal RNA". It matches the Rfam family "Bacterial large subunit ribosomal RNA", at positions 1 to 265 of the family's 2925-position model. The record is from RNAcentral. RNAcentral also lists the same sequence under 1 other name. Lineage: Bacteria; Pseudomonadati; Pseudomonadota; Gammaproteobacteria; Enterobacterales; Enterobacteriaceae.
GGGUUGUGAGGUUAAGCGACUAAGCGUACACGGUGGAUGCCCUGGCAGUCAGAGGCGAUGAAGGACGUGCUAAUCUGCGAUAAGCGUCGGUAAGGUGAUAUGAACCGUUAUAACCGGCGAUUUCCGAAUGGGGAAACCCAGUGUGUUUCGACACACUAUCAUUAACUGAAUCCAUAGGUUAAUGAGGCGAACCGGGGGAACUGAAACAUCUAAGUACCCCGAGGAAAAGAAAUCAACCGAGAUUCCCCCAGUAGCGGCGAGCGAACGGGGAGG